ACUGCAGUUUUCUUAUAUAAGAAAACAGUCUACAGUCAACUAUCUAUGCCUGUGUGUUCCACAGGCAGGCACAGAUGAAAUCGUACGUUGAAAGUUUUUUUUUUCUAAACAGUAGCAACUAACAACUGUUUAUAUAACAUUUACAUUGUUUUAGAUGUUAUGGUAAUCUAGAGAUGAUCCAUUGUAGAUAGGAGGAUGUGUAUGGGUUUUAUGAAAAUUAGCCAUUUUGUAUAAAGGAUUUGAGUAUCCAUAGAUUUUGAUUCUGGAAACAAGCCUCCAUGAAUGCAAAGAGACAACUAUAGAUUUUAUACAAUAGAUAUAAACUUAAGAAUUUUGAAAAAUACAUUACCAUAGUUUCAAGUUUUUUAAAAAACAAGUCUGCUUGCUCAUAAGUAGAAUUAAGACAUAAUUUACCAUCUGUGUCUUUAAGACAUAAUUUACCAUCUAUAAUACUUACAGCUUGUACAAGUUUAAUAUUUGGUUGCUUAUGCAUGCUUAAUAACCCUUAGGUGUUAAUAACUCUUGGGUAGUUCAAAACAGCACAAACAAAAAAACUGUGGUUGUUGUUCAGUGGUAGGAUGCCUUUAUAGCAUGCAUGAGACCAAAGGUUUGAGUCUUAGCAACACAAAACAAACACUCUAUAAUGUAUAUUUCAUUAAUUUUGAAAUAUUGGAAAAGAAUCAUAGAAUUAAAUUUGAAAUUCGUCAUUUUUUAAUAAUCUAACAACUUUUACUAAAGCUUCAUACCCAACGUGGAUUUAUGAUAUUCCUUUUUCUAGCCAGAUAGAACAUUUGCUUAACCUAAGUUCUAGUUAUCACUCAGCUAGUUUUGUUUUGUGAUUGAUACCAAAUUUAAAGAACUUACACAGAAUAAAACUCUAAGAUUGUAAAUUUAACCUACCUCAAAAUAUUUGAGAGAAAGUUUAUGUAUGUUAAUGUAAUUAUGUUAAAUGCAAAUUUUUUUUCAUUUUUUUUAAAUUUUAUUUAAGGAGAAAAGAAAAAAAAAAGCAGGGAAAGGGUACAAGUUAUACAGAUUUACACAAAAAAAAUGAACAGUAGGAAAUCACUAGUUAAUGGAUUACAUAUUGUCAUCUUAGAAAUAAUUGUUCAAGUCACAAAAUUAAAGCUUGUAAAGUGGACAUUCCAUCAAUGAUACUGCAAACAGUUCUGUUCAUUGAUCCAAUAAAACUCUGUGAUAUCAUUUUCUAUCUUAUACACUUAAAUAUACAUGCAGUUAUAUAGUUUGGAGCACUUUCUUUUCCUCUCUUUUGUACCAUGACUAUUACACAUUUUGGGUUUCAUUGCUCCCACGGUUCUUAUUACUUUUUUGGAAGAGAGUAAAACCAAAUGUGACAUAACAGAACAGAAUCGGUCAAGUCAAAAGGGUGGACAUAAUAGAUAAUGUAAAAACAUAAUACAAGGUGAUCAACAAUGGUUACCAUAAUGCCUCCCGCUAUCUCUAAUAGAAUUGCCUAUAUCAUUAGUUGUAAUGCAAUUGAACAAAACAGUAAAGAACAAAACUGACAAAACCAAAACAAUGGAGACAUUGUAGGUCUUCAAAAGUAGAUAAAAGUCAACAGAAAUGGGCGUCAUAAUGAAUCUCAUUAUCUUCACAGCUGAUGCCUAAACUUUCGAACCUGAUACUAUCCAGCAAAACAGAAUAGGGGAACAUCAGUUAAAAACCAGAUGGUGAGAGUAAUACAGGGCUUUAAAUCAAGGUAAUGAAAAGUCAAAGUGGGUUACUAUAAUAUAUCCUGCUAUUUUUUUCCUUUAAUUAAAAGGAUAAAGAUAAAAAAGUAAAUAAUGGAGUGGAGAUUGAGAUAAAAGAGGGCAUAACAACGAAACAGCGCAGAUCAAAAAAAAAAAAAAAAGGGGAGAAUUGUUUGAUGGAGAAAACAGAGAAAGCAUAGAAUACGUGAAACAGGUUCAAAGGGACUACCAAGAUACUAAGAAGUCUAUAGAAGACUGGCAUAACAGCUUGAAAGAAACUAAGGACAGACUAUCUGAACUGGAGGGCAGACUUCUAAUAUGGGAGAAUGAAAUGAAAAACUUCUUAAAAAUAACAAAGAAAGAAACAGCAAUAAUACAAAGACAAGAAGAUGAUAAGAGGAUCCAUAACUUAAGGAUUAAGAACAUAAAAGAAGAAGUAGGGACACAAACAAGUGAACUACAAAAGCUACUCACAGAAAUAAUCCAGGAGAAUUUUCCUAAUUUAGCAAAAGGUAAAGAUACUCAGAUGUAUGAGGCAUACAGGACCCCAGCUACCUACAACCCAAACAGAGCAACACCCAGGCAUAUAAUAAUAAAAAUUCCAGAAAUUCAAUACAAGAACAGAAUAUUAAAAGCUGUAAGAGACAAGAAACAGACCACUUACAAGGGAACACCCAUCAGAAUUACAGCAGAUUUCUCGGCACAAACCAUCAAAUCACGAAGAGCGUGGGGGGAAAUAAUUCAAGCUUUGAAAGAUAAUAAUCUCCAGCCAAGAUUGAGAUAUCCUGCACAACUGUCCCUGGAAAUUGAUGGAAAAACAAGGUGCUUCCAGGAUAAAGAGGAACUGGGGGAAUUUGCAACCACCAAUUCAACUCUACAGAGAGUAUUGCAUGAUAUUCUAAAAAAAGAAAAAUACAAAGAAUCCAGAAAUAAUGGCAGAGAGGCCACAAUGAAUGGAGCAGAGAACAAAAUGAAGAAGACAAACUGACAGCUACUGACAGAAAAAGAGCUCAACAGAAACGAGGCAGAGAAGAUUGGAUGAUAGGAACAGCUAUUUUGGAGAAAAUGACAUCUUAAUAGAAACAGACUGGCAGAAUGGAUCAAGAAACAACAUCCAACGAUAUGCUGUCUACAAGAAACCCAUCUAACCCAAAAGGAAACUCAGACUGAAAGUCAAAGGAUGGAAAACAAUACUUCAUGCCACAGGAACUGAAAAAAAAAGCGGGGGUAGGUAUUCUGUUUGCAGACAAUGUGAACUUCAAACCAAGAAUGAUCCUAAGAGAUAAAGAAGGCCACUACAUACUGGUUAGGGAAAAACUUCAAGAGGAAGAGAUAACAAUCUUAAAUAUAUAUGCACCAAAUUCCAGAGCACCCAGUUAUACAAAGUAUUAAUAGAAAUGAAAAAAUAAUUCAUGUUCAUACAGUUAUAAGUAUAGUUGUUGUGAAACAUUGCAGUGUUUGAAUAUUAUAUAUAGGCAUAAAUAUUUUAAUUACUUUUCAUGGUCCUUGCCUUCAUUCAUCUACUCACCUAUUUAUUCAAGUAUUCAUUUAUCUAUAGAAUGCUUAUGAGUAUUUACUAAAUACUGGUUUAUAUAUGAGAAACAUGAUAAGCAAAUGAUUCCUACUUUUAUAUUUGCAUUUCUUUUAAGAUGUGCAGUUUUAAACCAAGGGUGGUGUUGCAUACUGUAAUCACAGCACUCAGGAGGCUAAGGCAGGAGGACUAUGAAUCUCAGGCAAACCAAAGGUGAACUAUAUAUAUAGUGAGACAAUUCUCAAAAAUGGGAAACAAAACUACACAGAAAAAGAUGUGUAGUUUCAAAACUGUAUCAUGUUUUAAACCUAGUAAUAUUCUUCAAUUACCAUAGGUCUUACAUUACAACUUGGUCCUAUACUAAUUUUAAAAUAGCACUCAUAAUUUUUGUAUUAGUAACUAUGUUGGAAGAGACAUAAGAAGUGUUGUUUUAUGAAUAUCAGUAUGAUUUUUAAAAUACUAGACUUGUGAUUAGAAAGCAGAAAAUUCAGCGGAAUGAAUUUAUCUUUGUGAUUUAUAAUAUCUUUGUGAUUUUAUCUCAUAACUUUCAUGUUUUUAAAAUAAUAUAAUUGCCCUUAGUUUGGAUUUACUGCAAAGUAACUUUAUAGUUUUAUUUUUCUCUUGAAAUUAAUUGGAGAAAAUGAAACAGAUGUCUUCUAAAAUUUGAGAAUUUUAGAUUUGACUUUUGAUUGUUUUUGUGAUAUCUGGCCCUAAUGUCAUAACACAAAACUAUGUUAUCAUUAAAAGUAUUUUAUCAUUUUA
Cavia porcellus (domestic guinea pig) is the source of this 4002-nucleotide long non-coding RNA. RefSeq lists it as uncharacterized. NCBI's taxonomy places the organism in Eukaryota, Metazoa, Chordata, Mammalia, Rodentia, Caviidae. The record is from RefSeq and is a predicted model, not a curated record. The transcript has 2 exons.